CUUUGGCAAGCACAGAAAUAGUCUAAAAUUGAAAUAAUGCAGAGAAGAUUAGCUUGGCCCUGUACAAGUAUGCAAAUUCACAGCAUACUUCAUAUUUUA
This 99-nucleotide small nuclear RNA is filed under the name Meriones unguiculatus (Mongolian gerbil). The record is from RNAcentral. Lineage: Eukaryota; Metazoa; Chordata; Mammalia; Rodentia; Muridae.